This is a microRNA precursor of Medicago truncatula (barrel medic), 80 nucleotides long. It matches the Rfam family "MIR5298 microRNA precursor family". NCBI's taxonomy places the organism in Eukaryota, Viridiplantae, Streptophyta, Magnoliopsida, Fabales, Fabaceae. The record is from Rfam.
UUAGGUUUUCUUCAUUUUCUUCUGGGAUUAUUUUUGUUGAAGAUUGAUGGAGAUGAUAUGAAGAUGAAAAGGACGAUAAA